GAUGAACGCUGGCGGCGUGCCUAAUACAUGCAAGUCGAGCGAACAGACGAGGAGCUUGCUCCUCUGACGUUAGCGGCGGACGGGGGAGUAACACGUGGAUAACCUACCUAUAAGACUGGGAUAACUUCGGGAAACCGGAGCGAAUACCGGAUAAUAUAUUGAACCGCAUGGUUCAAUAGUUAAAGACGGCUUUGCUGCCACUUAUAGAUGGAUCCGCGCCGCAUUAGCUAGUUGGUAAGGUAACGGCUUACCAAGGCAACGAUGCGUAGCCGACCUGAGAGGGUGAUCCGCCACACUGGAACUGAGACACGGUCACGACUCCUACGCGAGGCGGCAGUAGGGAAUCUUCCGCAAUGGGCGAAAGCUUGACGGGGCGACGCCGCGUGAGUGAUGAAGGUCUUCGGAUCGUAAAACUCUGUUAUUAGGGAAGAACAAAUGUGUAAGUAACUAUGCACGUCUUGACGGUACCUAAACAGAAAGCCACGGCUAACUACGUG
Molecule: ribosomal RNA, 497 nt
Filed under: uncultured bacterium
Lineage: Bacteria
Description: partial 16S ribosomal RNA
Rfam family: Bacterial small subunit ribosomal RNA
Source: RNAcentral